Molecule: ribosomal RNA, 430 nt
Filed under: uncultured bacterium
Lineage: Bacteria
Description: partial 16S ribosomal RNA
Rfam family: Bacterial small subunit ribosomal RNA
Source: RNAcentral
GUGGGGAAUAUUGGACAAUGGGCGCAAGCCUGAUCCAGCAACGCCGCGUGAGGGAUGACGGCCUUCGGGUUGUAAACCUCUUUCAGCAGGGACGAAGCGAAAGUGACGGUACCUGCAGAAGAAGGACCGGCCAACUACGUGCCAGCAGCCGCGGUAAUACGUAGGGUCCGAGCGUUGUCCGGAAUUAUUGGGCGUAAAGGGCUCGUAGGCGGUCUGUCGCGUCGGGAGUGAAAACUCAGGGCUCAACCCUGAGCGUGCUUCCGAUACGGGCAGACUAGAGGUAUGCAGGGGAGAACGGAAUUCCUGGUGUAGCGGUGGAAUGCGCAGAUAUCAGGAGGAACACCGGUGGCGAAGGCGGUUCUCUGGGCAUUACCUGACGCUGAGGAGCGAAAGCAUGGGGAGCGAACAGGAUUAGAUACCCCUGUAGUCC